UGGGCAUACACAUGAGAAGGCUGUGAAAUGGUGUUUCAUUCCGAAGAGUUCUUAUCAUAUAAGACUCUUGAUUUUGAUAAACCUUUUCAUGUGGUGGUUACAAGUCACCGUGAGAUGAUUUUCACACCCCAUCUACAACUAUAAAUAGGGGACGGCACCGAGGGGAGGGAUCAUUCAAUUCUCACAUACUCUCUUAUCUUGCUUAAGACAAGAAUCCUCUCCUCCUCUCUCUUACACCCCUAGUUCUCUUAGGACAAGCCUAGGAUAAGGCUCUAGAGGAUUUUAAGAGGUCUAGUCAAGUUGCCAAGAAGCCAAGAAGUGGUCCAAGUCAAGUUUAAGAAGCAGUUUGACCAAACUGAUCAAGUCAGGGUCAACUCGGGUCUGGCGAUUGGAUUCAAAAGGAGCGACUCUUUGAAUCAAUUCCUGUGUGGAUCACCAUUGGGUAUAUGCUUGUGUACCUUGUGGAGUUAUUAAAAAUAAUGAUUAAAGUAUUUAUAUAAUUAUAUGCUUCAUUUCAUUAUAAUUUAUUAAUUUGAUUGAAUGCAUCAAAGGGGAUCCUGGGGUUUAGAAUUUUGGGUGUUCUUGGGUUUCAUA
RNAcentral lists this long non-coding RNA (594 nucleotides) under Elaeis guineensis (African oil palm). RNAcentral describes it as "long non-coding RNA (EGUI_LNC059923)". The record is from RNAcentral. Lineage: Eukaryota; Viridiplantae; Streptophyta; Magnoliopsida; Arecales; Arecaceae.